GAUGAAGAACGUAGUGAAAUGCGAUAAGUAAUGUGAAUUGCAGAAUUCAGUGAAUCAUCGAAUCUUUGAACGCACAUUGCGCCCGCCAGCAUUCUGGCGGGCAUGCCUGUUCGAGCGUCAUUUCAACCCUCAAGCUCUGCUUGGUGUUGGGGCCCUACGGUUGACGUAGGCCCUUAAAGGUAGUGGCGGACCCUCUCGGAGCCUCCUUUGCGUAGUAACUAACGUCUCGCAUUGGGAUUCGGAGGGACUCUUGCCGUAAAACCCCCAAAUUUUCUAAUGGUUGACCUCGGAUCAGGUAGGAAUACCCGCUGAACUUAAGCAUAUCAAUAGCGGAGGA
This 337-nucleotide unclassified non-coding RNA is filed under the name soil metagenome. RNAcentral describes it as "partial contains 5.8S ribosomal RNA, internal transcribed spacer 2, and large subunit ribosomal RNA". The stretch from base 1 to 120 matches the Rfam family "5.8S ribosomal RNA", at positions 35 to 154 of the family's 154-position model. The record is from RNAcentral.